GACGAACGCUGGCGGCGUGCCUAAUACAUGCAAGUAGAACGCACAGUUUAUACCGUAGCUUGCUACACCAUAGACUGUGAGUUGCGAACGGGUGAGUAACGCGUAGGUAACCUGCCUGGUAGCGGGGGAUAACUAUUGGAAACGAUAGCUAAUACCGCAUAAUAUUAAUUAUUGCAUGAUAAUUGAUUGAAAGAUGCAACUGCAUCACUACCAGAUGGACCUGCGUUGUAUUAGCUAGUAGGUGGGGUAACGGCUCACCUAGGCGACGAUACAUAGCCGACCUGGGAGGGUGAUCGGCCACACUGGGACUGAGACACGGCCCAGGCUCCUACGGGAGGCAGCAGUAGGGAAUCUUCGGCAAUGGACGAAAGUCUGACCGAGCAACGCCGCGUGAGUGAAGAAGGGUUUCGGAUCGUAAAGCUCUGUUGUAAGAGAAGAACGGGUGUGAGAGUGGAAAGUUCACACUGUGACGGUAUCUUACCAGAAAGGGACGGCUAACUACGUG
Molecule: ribosomal RNA, 505 nt
Filed under: uncultured bacterium
Lineage: Bacteria
Description: partial 16S ribosomal RNA
Rfam family: Bacterial small subunit ribosomal RNA
Source: RNAcentral